CCUACGGGGGGCAGCAGUGAGGAAUAUUGGUCAAUGGCCGUAAGGCUGAACCAGCCAAGUCGCGUGAAGGAAGAAGGAUCUAUGGUUUGUAAACUUCUUUUAUAGGGGAAUAAAGGUAUCCACGUGUGGAUAUUUGCAUGUACCCUAUGAAUAAGCAUCGGCUAACUCCGUGCCAGCAGCCGCGGUAAUACGGAGGAUGCGAGCGUUAUCCGGAUUUAUUGGGUGUAAAGGGUGCGUAGGUUGUAUUGUAAGUCAGUGGUGAAAGUCUGUGGCUCAACCAGAAAAUUGCCGUUGAAACUGGAAGACUUGAGUGUGGUUGAGGUAGGCGGAAUGCGUGGUGUAGCGGUGAAAUGCAUAGAUAUCACGCAGAACUCCGAUUGCGAAGGCAGCUUACUAGGCCAUAACUGACACUGAGGCACGAAAGCGUGGGGAGCGAACAGGAUUAGAUACCCGGGUAGUC
RNAcentral lists this ribosomal RNA (460 nucleotides) under uncultured bacterium. RNAcentral describes it as "partial 16S ribosomal RNA". It matches the Rfam family "Bacterial small subunit ribosomal RNA", at positions 338 to 795 of the family's 1533-position model. The record is from RNAcentral.